This 7692-nucleotide long non-coding RNA is filed under the name Sorghum bicolor (sorghum). Its description in RNAcentral is "long non-coding RNA (SBIC_LNC003669)". Lineage: Eukaryota; Viridiplantae; Streptophyta; Magnoliopsida; Poales; Poaceae. The record is from RNAcentral.
CAAAACCCGAAGGAUCCACAAACUCGGAAGCAACCCACUGAGGAUCAGAUUCCUCUGGAGCGUAGUCUACACGUAGAAGUGCAUAUGCAUGAUUAAUGAGAUGCUCAUGAUAUGAUAAAGACAGGUUACAUGUUCUUGGAUGAUAACAACAAACAUAACUACCUCGAGUACAACUUACCUUCAUGGUAUAGAAAUAAACUAAUCUAGCUAUCAAAACAUAGAUUACUUCUAAGCAAAUUUUAUCAUCUUCAUUAAGCAAGGUUGUGUAGCUAUCAGACAACAAAGAUUAUUUAUAUGAAAUAAUCUAUAACCAGGGAGCAUAUCAUGCCAAGUACCCACUGGUUAUCAAUCAAUCCCAAAGAUCAAUCAAAACCUAAAAUGAUUAGGCUUUCUAUUUAUCUUAAUAAACUCUUAAUUAAAUAUUAAUGACAGUAAUUAAGUAUUAACAUCAAACAAUAAUUAAGUGCCAAAGGUCAUUAAGAUUAAUGACCUCAGGUCAUCACACAAUUCCAAAAUCACUCAAAUUCUAAUUUGGAAAUUAAGUUACUCAUUAUUUAAGUAAAGGCUAGCUAAAAGCAAACAAUUCUAUUUGCACACAUAACCAGGACAGCAGCAUAUACACAACUUCAUUCAACCAUAAUUAGAGAUACAAGCAUCCAACAAAGGUGAUAUUAGGCUUUCUGGAAAGCUUAUAUAAUUUUCUACAACUUUGUUAUUAUCUUCGAGAACUGAUUUAAUAGAUAAAAUAGCCAAACAGUAUGAAUAAACAAUUCUGUCCAGACCUUGGACAGAAUCAGACAUUAAGCUUCAUACAUCUAUAACCAGAGUUCUAGAUCACCAAAAUUCAUGAUCCAUAACAUUUUGGAAAGCUUAUGAAAAUUACUACAAUUCAUCUUUUAUCAUGAAAGCAUAAUUCAUAAGUUUAGUAGGUUGAAAUUGCACAACUACAGAAACUGAUCCAGGAUUUGACAGAAAGAAACCAUUUCUGAAACUUAAAUUUAAACAGGCAUAACUCAGAAACUAUAGGGCCAAAUGCCACCAAAAUUUAACACCAGCUAGAUACAUGAAUUCUAUACAACUUUGUUAUAGACAAGUUUCAUAUCCAACAUUAUUUACCUAGAGCAAUUCAUAAGGUUCCAGAAAUUGUCGAGAAACCACUAAUAUUUGAAUUAUAAAGAAAUAACAUUUUAUUUAUGUUCCAAACUUGAACCUGGGCAAAACCCAGCUUACUAACAGUUGUAAUACAUCAAAUAGAUACUAGAAAACAUCAUGGUCAUCCCUAAAUAAAUACCUUUCAUGUCUUUAUUAAUUUAUUUAGAUAAAUAGACAAAGUAAUAACCAUAUAUCAAAAGUACACAGUAAAUUCUGAAAAAACUACAGAAGCUCAUAUAUGCUCUCCAAAGUCUACUGUAUAAAUUUCAUGCCAUUUGGAUAAGUAUAGCAAUUUCCAUGAAAAAGAUAAAUUUCCAUCACAAUGAAGCAUGUAACAACAAGAUAAAUAAGAAAAUUGACAUUUUCUACAAACACAUAGCUAAAUUAUGUAUCUAUAUGAUAUAACAACCUCAUAUAAAGGCAUAGGAACCAUAUUUUACAUUUAUUUAUUUUUAGUUUAAUUGUAAACUAUUUAAUAAGCACUAAACAAGAUAAAUUAAUAACUUAAUCAUAUGUCAUCCAAUGAAUCUAAAAACUUAACCACAGCACACACACAUAAUCAUUAGCCUACCAUAAAAGUUUCAUCUUAAAAGAAGCUAUACAGCAAUAGAUAUGAAUUUCUCCCUUUUAAGCAUAAUUAAAAGACAUAAUUCAUAACUAAUUAUUUUACUAUAAAACAUAGUCAGUUCCAUAUUUUUAAUAAAAACUAGACAUUUCAAGGAGCACAACAAAAUUUGGUUCACCAAAAUUGGAGCUACCAAACUCUAGAUAUGAAUUUUCAAAGAUUCAACAAAACAUCUACAAACAAGUCCUUAUAGCACUAUUCACCUGAGUCACAGUCUGUGCAAUUAGACCCCUGGAGAACUUCCAAUUGUUGCGCGUGGUCCCUGGUCGCGAACUGAAAACAGGGGAGCUCGUCGGAGAUCGCGGUUUCGGCGUUGGGGUGCUCGUCGGCGGCAGAGGAGCAGCGGAGGAGCUUGCCCGGACUAGUGCGCACCUGCUGGUGGCCGUAGCUUGUCCCGCAAUGGCUCGAGGUGGCCUGGCCACGUUGAGGUGCUCCUCGGCGGCGUUUUUGGCCUGAGUGGAGGAAGAACGGACGUAGCCGGGGAUAGAAAUGGUUAGAGCUUGCACCAAGGGGCGCAAAAACUGGGGUUGAAAUUAGGGGUUUUUCUUAGCUAUUCCCUUACCACCCUCCUUAGCUAGGGAUUAAACAACUAUCACAAGCACGAUAAACACACUUUAAUUCCCUAAGCACAAUCAACCAAAAUAAACUUAUUUUUAAGUUGAUGCAUAAUGAUGUGCUUAACAAUUAUGCUUUGCAAUGCUUAUGAUGACAUGAUCCAGUUUUAGUAUUCGUAACAUCAGGGAUGUUACAGCCCUUCCCCCUUAACGAAAUCUCGUCCCGAGAUUUUCAGGGUACUAAAACCCGUGGGGUUAAGUAAUGGAAAAGAAAAUGUGUCAAGCACAUUAACUUCUGAGAAGUUCAUAAAACAAUUACAAUUGGUCCGAGAAUUACAACUAAGAUCAACAGAAUGUUGUAAUCAAUAAGAAUGUUAGAGAAUUCAUAAGAAGAUAUGGAUCUCCAAAUGAGCUUCCAAGGAGAAUGAAAGCACACUAACUGUAGACUAUAGCGGAGCAUGACCAGAGAUCCCGAUGUUUAACGAGCACCUAGUAGUAUUUCCUUAUGGCUGCAGUCCACAGGAGACUACAAGGUUCGACGCUAUAACGUGAUCACGGAUCAUGGUACCUACUAUAGAGUACGGUUACAAUAGCUUUCAAUGACCUAUGUUGGUUAUCCAAGUCAAGGGUUUUAGGUAAUUUCCACAAAGAUAUGGGCAUGGGUUCCCAUGAUAGGGCUCAAAGAGCGAGGGCACCUUAGUUGUGGGGCUAUAAUGGAUCAUGUCCAUAACCUCGAUACCUGCACGCGCCCAGUAGAAAUUUGUGUCAUCUGAACACACAAAAGACUCUAGGUUCCGACGCGGCACCGUGGUCACGGGACAUGGCACCACUAUAGGGCACCACAACAAUAACCCAUGUCUCACAAUCCCAAGAAUGUAACUGAGAUCAAAAGUCGAUCACAAUCACAAGGUGUUUAGGGAACUCAAAAGGACAAAUUUGAAUCCCUAAGGAGUGUCCAAAGAAUGAAACACCCUAAUUGUGGACUAUAAGGGAUCAUGAUCAUAUACUUUGAUAACAAUGAGCGCCCAGCAGUAUUUCCUCAUGGUCAUGAGCCAUAGGAGAUCCCAGGUUUUGACAUUGUUACCUAAGUCACAAGUCAUGGUACCUUAAGAGAACACAAUCAUAGUGACAUUCAAUCAACAAAAAUGUUGACAAAAGAUAUCAAGGAGGUAGCAUGUGUCCGAAUUAGAUGAAAUCAAGGAAGGUCACAUGCAUAACAAAUGAAUCAAGGAUUAGGAUCUUAUGGAGUAAAAGAUUAUCAAUCAGUUAACGAAACCUGGUACAUGAUGAGAUUCAUCAAUAAAACAGCUAUAACGAAUAAUAACUGUUUUUGAAGCAUAAGGAGGGGCUUUUAAGUAUCAUUAUAUUGUCAUGUUAUGCUUGAUAUGCAAUAUGCUCGUCCUAUACGUCUUUACAACGUUAGCUAGGAGGUAACUACUUAUAUAGGGCAUACUUUAUACAUUAUCUUUAUUGCUCUGGACGGAAUGUUGCAAGACUUUUGACAAAGCAUUGUUGGAGUAGUUUGAUUCUUCACUCGGCUUGUUGAAGAAAAAUUGAAGUCCCUUUCAAUGCCUUCUAUUUGAGUCGACAGAAAGUCUUCGUAGAACGGGGACAGCAAGCAUAAGAAAAGUUAAGGAGCAUUUAUAAGUCGUUAUCCUCAAAAACUUUUAAUUUGUAAAUUCCUUUUGAAGUUUUUCACAAGUAAUGUUGCAGAACAUCCAUGUAUGAGCUCUGAUACCAGCUGUGGCAGAACCUCCUGAAUUAAUUGGCCCACAUGCACCCAUCAUUAUCUCAAAGACUUCUGAUCGGCGUGCACGAGUUCCAAAUGACUCAAGAAGUCUGUCGGGUGCCCUCGGAGGACCCCGAAUCAUCCACGUUUUAACUCAUACAGGAUCAACAUGGAGUUACCACAACAUUACAACAUUUGUUACAAAAAUAACUUACAUCAGAGUGCGGAAGAUUUAUAACUUAAUUUACAACAUAUGAUGAAGUACAAACUUAACUAAAUUUUUAAAAGGUGUGUAGAGUAGCGAAAGCAUCCUAGGUGAAGCUUCUAAGGUAGGAGAGGUGGAUAAAUCAUGUCGCGCCCACCGACAUGACCUCCAUUAGCAGUCUAAGUCAGCACCUGCAACAGGGGUUAUAAAACCCUGAGUACGAAAGUACUCAACAAGACUUAACCGACUAGAAAAGAGGUGAAGACUCAGAUAUGCAGGCUAUAGGGAUUCAAGGUAAAGCUUUAGCAAGAUCAAAGCAUUUCUUUUGCAUAAAAGCUUACUAAGAGUAAAACCUACUUUCAAGUUUUAACUCAAGAUCAUCAUUUAUGACUAAUCAAAACUAUUAUCAAACUUUCAUAAGUAAACCAUAUCUUUCUUAUACCAAGAUUCACUUAUUACUACGAUGAUGGUACGAGGAUUGAGGCUCCAUAUCCGAGGAAACACGGCGAUUCGAAUCGAUUAAACCCAGCUGGGGAUUCAGUACCACACGACAUAUGUAGAACUUAAUCUUGCAUAUGUCAACCUUUUCUAUAGAUCCUCCCAUACAAGAACGGGUCCAGCGUCACCCGAGAGUACAGUACACCACCAUCCUACAGCCAAUCUAGAUGUUUCCCGGUCAUCUCAGAUCCGUAAGGUGGGUACACGCUACUCUCGCCAUCUCUCCACUCCCAGUACGCGGUUAGCCGUUCUCAAGUAUCGGAAUAGCUAUAGGUAAGGCUUACCGCCGCAUGUGGGCUGUACUCAAAGGUCUCAAUCACAACAGGCCAAUCAACGGUACGGUCCUUAAUCGACACAGUUGGAGACACUACUUUAAGACUCCAUUCUUAAAGCAAGUCCACCGACCGGUCUCAAGUUUAAACAUUAUUAACCAUAAAAGUAUUCCACAACAACCCUUCAAGCUUUCUCAUUUGAAAACCUAUCUAAUAAGCAGGGCUAAGCAUACUAAGCAUUUUCAUAAAGCAGGUAUCAAGGUUAAUAUGGAAAUCAUCAAGGUAGAUAAUGCAGCAAAUAGGAUUCACUCAACUCCUAUUCACCUAAUGCAUCAUAUUAACUCAAGUGAUAUAAAUAACUUUAUGAAAAUACAAGGAUAGGGUUUAAUGUCCGGGGCUUGCCUUGACCGGAAGGGAAGUUCGACAACUCAGCAAAACCCGAAGGAUCCACAAACUCGGAAGCAACCCACUGAGGAUCAGAUUCCUCUGGAGCGUAGUCUACACGUAGAAGUGCAUAUGCAUGAUUAAUGAGAUGCUCAUGAUAUGAUAAAGACAGGUUACAUGUUCUUGGAUGAUAACAACAAACAUAACUACCUCGAGUACAACUUACCUUCAUGGUAUAGAAAUAAACUAAUCUAGCUAUCAAAACAUAGAUUACUUCUAAGCAAAUUUUAUCAUCUUCAUUAAGCAAGGUUGUGUAGCUAUCAGACAACAAAGAUUAUUUAUAUGAAAUAAUCUAUAACCAGGGAGCAUAUCAUGCCAAGUACCCACUGGUUAUCAAUCAAUCCCAAAGAUCAAUCAAAACCUAAAAUGAUUAGGCUUUCUAUUUAUCUUAAUAAACUCUUAAUUAAAUAUUAAUGACAGUAAUUAAGUAUUAACAUCAAACAAUAAUUAAGUGCCAAAGGUCAUUAAGAUUAAUGACCUCAGGUCAUCACACAAUUCCAAAAUCACUCAAAUUCUAAUUUGGAAAUUAAGUUACUCAUUAUUUAAGUAAAGGCUAGCUAAAAGCAAACAAUUCUAUUUGCACACAUAACCAGGACAGCAGCAUAUACACAACUUCAUUCAACCAUAAUUAGAGAUACAAGCAUCCAACAAAGGUGAUAUUAGGCUUUCUGGAAAGCUUAUAUAAUUUUCUACAACUUUGUUAUUAUCUUCGAGAACUGAUUUAAUAGAUAAAAUAGCCAAACAGUAUGAAUAAACAAUUCUGUCCAGACCUUGGACAGAAUCAGACAUUAAGCUUCAUACAUCUAUAACCAGAGUUCUAGAUCACCAAAAUUCAUGAUCCAUAACAUUUUGGAAAGCUUAUGAAAAUUACUACAAUUCAUCUUUUAUCAUGAAAGCAUAAUUCAUAAGUUUAGUAGGUUGAAAUUGCACAACUACAGAAACUGAUCCAGGAUUUGACAGAAAGAAACCAUUUCUGAAACUUAAAUUUAAACAGGCAUAACUCAGAAACUAUAGGGCCAAAUGCCACCAAAAUUUAACACCAGCUAGAUACAUGAAUUCUAUACAACUUUGUUAUAGACAAGUUUCAUAUCCAACAUUAUUUACCUAGAGCAAUUCAUAAGGUUCCAGAAAUUGUCGAGAAACCACUAAUAUUUGAAUUAUAAAGAAAUAACAUUUUAUUUAUGUUCCAAACUUGAACCUGGGCAAAACCCAGCUUACUAACAGUUGUAAUACAUCAAAUAGAUACUAGAAAACAUCAUGGUCAUCCCUAAAUAAAUACCUUUCAUGUCUUUAUUAAUUUAUUUAGAUAAAUAGACAAAGUAAUAACCAUAUAUCAAAAGUACACAGUAAAUUCUGAAAAAACUACAGAAGCUCAUAUAUGCUCUCCAAAGUCUACUGUAUAAAUUUCAUGCCAUUUGGAUAAGUAUAGCAAUUUCCAUGAAAAAGAUAAAUUUCCAUCACAAUGAAGCAUGUAACAACAAGAUAAAUAAGAAAAUUGACAUUUUCUACAAACACAUAGCUAAAUUAUGUAUCUAUAUGAUAUAACAACCUCAUAUAAAGGCAUAGGAACCAUAUUUUACAUUUAUUUAUUUUUAGUUUAAUUGUAAACUAUUUAAUAAGCACUAAACAAGAUAAAUUAAUAACUUAAUCAUAUGUCAUCCAAUGAAUCUAAAAACUUAACCACAGCACACACACAUAAUCAUUAGCCUACCAUAAAAGUUUCAUCUUAAAAGAAGCUAUACAGCAAUAGAUAUGAAUUUCUCCCUUUUAAGCAUAAUUAAAAGACAUAAUUCAUAACUAAUUAUUUUACUAUAAAACAUAGUCAGUUCCAUAUUUUUAAUAAAAACUAGACAUUUCAAGGAGCACAACAAAAUUUGGUUCACCAAAAUUGGAGCUACCAAACUCUAGAUAUGAAUUUUCAAAGAUUCAACAAAACAUCUACAAACAAGUCCUUAUAGCACUAUUCACCUGAGUCACAGUCUGUGCAAUUAGACCCCUGGAGAACUUCCAAUUGUUGCGCGUGGUCCCUGGUCGCGAACUGAAAACAGGGGAGCUCGUCGGAGAUCGCGGUUUCGGCGUUGGGGUGCUCGUCGGCGGCAGAGGAGCAGCGGAGGAGCUUGCCCGGACUAGUGCGCACCUGCUGGUGGCCGUAGCUUGUCCCGCAAUGGCUCGAGGUGGCCUGGCCACGUUGAGGUGCUCCUCGGCGGCGUUUU